GACGAACGCUGGCGGCGUGCCUAACACAUGCAAGUCGAACGGAAAGGCCCUGCUUUUGCGGGGUGCUCGAGUGGCGAACGGGUGAGUAACACGUGAGUAACCUGCCCUUGACUGUGGGAUAACUUCAGGAAACUGGGGCUAAUACCGGAUAGGAGCUCCUGCUGCAUGGUGGGGGUUGGAAAGUUUCGGCGGUUGUGGAUGGACUCGCGGCUUACCAGCUUGUUGGUGGGGUAGUUGCUUACCAAGCCUUCGACGGGUAGCCCGCCUGGGAGGGUGGCCAGCCACCUUGGGCCUACGGGACGGCCCAGACUCCAACGGGAGGCAACGGGCGAGAGUAUUACACAGUGGGCCGACGCCUGAUGCAGCGGCGCCGCGUGCGUAAAGACGGCCUUCGGGUUAUAAACCGCUUUCGCCUGUGACGAAGCGUGAGUGACGGUAAUGGGUAAAGAAGCACCGGCUAACUACGUG
RNAcentral lists this ribosomal RNA (468 nucleotides) under uncultured bacterium. Its description in RNAcentral is "partial 16S ribosomal RNA". It matches the Rfam family "Bacterial small subunit ribosomal RNA", at positions 28 to 507 of the family's 1533-position model. The record is from RNAcentral.